GCGGGGCUGGGAGAGACCCAGAGGUGUCGGGCUUGGCGUUGUUGGUGUGGGGGUGGCGAGGUCACUGAGGCACCUUAGGCCGAGCUCCAGCAAAGAAGCCGCCGCUGGUUGCGCAGCCUCUGGCAUAGCGAAAUCCUACGAGCACUUGGCAAAAAUACGAGUAGCGAGAGAAGCGGCUCCAGAGUGCAGCUGUCCACCAGGUCCUCCAGGGAAAAGAGGUAAGCGGGGAAGAAGAGGAGAGACUGGUAAGUUUUUAAUUUCCUAAGAUCUAUUGUCAUGUGAUGUUUUUGUGAGGAUGUGUACCCAGCAUGCCUUGAUUUUUAGU
RNAcentral lists this long non-coding RNA (325 nucleotides) under Lonchura striata (white-rumped munia). RNAcentral describes it as "domestica (Bengalese finch) lncRNA (ENSLSDG00000012627.1)". The record is from RNAcentral. Lineage: Eukaryota; Metazoa; Chordata; Aves; Passeriformes; Estrildidae.